CUCUCUCAUGAACCCCAGCCAUACACCCCCACAUAUCACCGCAUCACAGUUCCUCCACACGCGACCGUGCGUGCACUGCAGCCCUUGCCGAUCGCUGCCCCCUGCCUUGUCGCCGUCGUCGCACACCCCGGUUGCCGCUUCUACCCUCCCCGGUUGUCGCCGUCGCCGUCCUCGAUUGCCGACGCUGCCCUCCUGGUUGCCACCACCGCCAUCCCCGGUGGCCGUGGCUGCCGCCGUUGGUCGCUGGGAGAUGACCGGGGGAUAGCUCCGGACACUCCGUUCCCGCCCCACCGUGAGCCUCCUUGCCAGUCCCCGCCUCCCUGCCGGUCGCUGUGUGCCGUCCCAGCGGAUCGAGGCUGGCCGUCCCUUCCCCCAAGGUGAGAUCCGGUGGGAGGAGAAGAUGGUGGUUGUUUCAGUCUAUUAUAUGCAUCGACACGAGAGGUGGCGGAUCGGUCCACACGAGAUUCCUGGUCCCGAUUUCGUCACCAUGUUGCGACCACCUCCAUCGAGCAAUGGUUGAUGCCAAGGGGUAUAAAGGUGUACUAAUGCAUGCCCAUGCUUUAAGAAUGAGCUACAGGUCUAAUCCAAGAAACAUAAAGCUAUUGAGUUGCAUAUAACAGAUCUCAAGAGAGGUAAUGGGUGUUUUAGAAGAUUGCACACGGAAACCUUAUUCAAGUUCACCAACCAGGAGACCUGAUUACGGGGCCAACACGGUCAUGCAAAAAAAUGGCAGCAGAAGGUCAUCUACUAAACUAGCGCACUGGAGCAAGGGAGAGGUGUCUUGAAGAAUGAGCGAGGAAGUGAGUGUUGUGUUAAUUACUAAUGGUGAAGCACUCGCAUUGAAAGUUGCAUGCCAUUUGUGAAAGCAUCAGGGGCAACGAAUGAGUGUCAACUAAAUAUGUUGCACCUGGAUGCUCAUUGGACUACGACAUGGACAUGAAGACACUUGUUGUAGUGGCAAAUCUUAUCUAGCGAUGCUCGCUUUGUUCAUUAUGUAUCAUCUUUGGUGUUGUGGAUUUGGACUGUUGAUAUAUAUAUAUAUGGUCAGGAAAUAAUAUAUAUUA
This is a long non-coding RNA of Hordeum vulgare subsp. vulgare (domesticated barley), 1064 nucleotides long. RefSeq lists it as uncharacterized. The transcript has 6 exons. The record is from RefSeq and is a predicted model, not a curated record. Lineage: Eukaryota; Viridiplantae; Streptophyta; Magnoliopsida; Poales; Poaceae.